UACGGAGGAUGCAAGCGUUAUCCGGAAUGAUUGGGCGUAAAGCGUCCGCAGGUGGCUGUGUAAGUCUGCUGUCAAAGAGCGAAGCUCAACUUCGUAAAGGCAGUGGAAACUACACGGCUAGAGUGCGUUCGGGGCAGAGGGAAUUCCUGGUGUAGCGGUGAAAUGCGUAGAGAUCAGGAAGAACAUCGGUGGCGAAAGCGCUCUACUGGACUGCAACUGACACUCAGGGACGAAAGCUAGGGGAGCGAAUGGG
Molecule: ribosomal RNA, 253 nt
Filed under: uncultured bacterium
Lineage: Bacteria
Description: partial 16S ribosomal RNA
Rfam family: Bacterial small subunit ribosomal RNA
Source: RNAcentral